GACGAACGCUGGCGGCGUGCUUAACACAUGCAAGUCGAACGGAAAGGCCCUGCUUUUGUGGGGUGCUCGAGUGGCGAACGGGUGAGUAAUACGUGAGUAACCUGCCCUUGACUUUGGGAUAACUUCAGGAAACUGGGGCUAAUACCGGAUAGGAGCUCCUGCUGCAUGGUGGGGGUUGGAAAGUUUCGACGGUUGGGGAUGGACUCGCGGCUUAUCAGCUUGUUGGUGGGGUAGUGGCUUACCAAGGCUUUGACGGGUAGCCGGCCUGAGAGGGUGACCGGCCACAUUGGGACUGAGAUACGGCCCAGACUCCUACGGGAGGCAGCAGUGGGGAAUAUUGCACAAUGGGCGGAAGCCUGAUGCAGCAACGCCGCGUGCGGGAUGACGGCCUUCGGGUUGUAAACCGCUUUCGCCUGUGACGAAGCGUGAGUGACGGUAAUGGGUAAAGAAGCACCGGCUAACUACGUG
Molecule: ribosomal RNA, 468 nt
Filed under: uncultured bacterium
Lineage: Bacteria
Description: partial 16S ribosomal RNA
Rfam family: Bacterial small subunit ribosomal RNA
Source: RNAcentral